GGCCAUACCAUGCUGAAUAUACCGGUUCUCGUUAGAUCACCGAAGUCAAGCAUCACUGGGCGCGGUCAGUACUUGGGUGGGUGACCACCUGGGAACACCGCGUGCCGUU
RNAcentral lists this ribosomal RNA (109 nucleotides) under Caerostris darwini. Lineage: Eukaryota; Metazoa; Arthropoda; Arachnida; Araneae; Araneidae. The record is from RNAcentral.